Molecule: transfer RNA, 86 nt
Filed under: Candidatus Omnitrophota bacterium
Lineage: Bacteria; Pseudomonadati; Candidatus Omnitrophota
Description: Candidatus Omnitrophica bacterium tRNA-Leu
Rfam family: tRNA
About the family: Transfer RNA (tRNA) molecules are approximately 80 nucleotides in length. Their secondary structure includes four short double-helical elements and three loops (D, anti-codon, and T loops).
Source: RNAcentral
GGGCGAGUGGCGGAACUGGCAGACGCCCGGGACUUAAAAUCCCGUGGUCCUUGCGGACCGUGUGGGUUCGACUCCCACCUCGCCCA